GCUGGAAGUAAAUAACCUCUGGAGAUCAUUUGGGGGAGUUGAGAGCCGUUUCGCAGUCAUGAGACGUGUAGGCUGACUCGUGGAAACCUGUGAGCCCCUAAAUCCAGGACAGAUGGCUGCUAGGCUGUAUUCGUGUCUGAAAUACAGCGGUACUUUGCUGUGUGAAUCCGCGCCUUUUCUUGCAAGGACCAGCCCCUGAGGGAGAAAUCUUUUAUUUGUCAUUCGUGGUUCAUCAAGGCCGAGUUGAAGGUGUCUUUCAGAUGAAGAAGGGUUGAAGCAGAAUCCUACCUCCUGCUGCCUCUGCUUCUGCAUAGAAAUCAGAGUGGCCUGAUGGGGGAGCUGAGUCUAAGGCUGAUCAGAUGAGCAGUUAGUUAUUCUCUAAACAGGAAGGGCAAGGCCAUUUGACAUUGCAUUGGGGUUUAAAAACGAGAAAUAAAUACAUUUGAUGGUGGUGGUGGUGGU
This 462-nucleotide long non-coding RNA is filed under the name Rattus norvegicus (Norway rat). RNAcentral describes it as "long non-coding RNA NONRATT012921". Lineage: Eukaryota; Metazoa; Chordata; Mammalia; Rodentia; Muridae. The record is from RNAcentral.